Molecule: long non-coding RNA, 1270 nt
Filed under: Homo sapiens (human)
Lineage: Eukaryota; Metazoa; Chordata; Mammalia; Primates; Hominidae
Description: HSALNT0297862
Source: RNAcentral
GUGCAGUUCCCAGGCCAAUGGAGUUAUGUUCCCAGGGGGAUUAUGGCUGCCUCUGUUGAGUCACACAGGUCACCAGGGAAGUGGGGGAAAGCUGGCAGUCACAGGCCUCACCCCUCUCCCACACAGCCCUCAGUCCUAAAGGCUGGUCUCACUCCCAUCCUGCCACGCAACAGCACAGGGUCUAUUUCGAGACAGCCAGUGACCAGGGCUGAGAACUUGCCCCAGACCACCAGCCUCCUCACUGAGAAAGCAAGCAGAAUCACAGUUUUUUGGAAUCUCAGGGAGCCUUCAGCGGCAAUCCAGUUCCUUCAAAGGGUCUGUGGAUUCUCUCAGUUUUCAUGAAACCAGCCAAGGCAAUGUGAAGGAUUCCAAGAGAGGCAAUAUGGAUGAAACCAUUUAUUAGAUUUAUAAGAGCUGAAGGAAAGUGGUAAAGCUAUCCAUCUUCUAUACUUUAUUGAGAACAGGACCAAUGACUCAGACUAUCAGGACAGUAUCUCCAAGACAGAAUUGAAAUCCUAAAGUAAGCAGAGAAUAAGUGCAUACAUUUUAGGAGAAGAGGGAUCAAAGGCAGAAGGAAGAAAUGCACGGGUGUCAGCUGUGACCCUCGAAGGAAAGGGAUCACCCUCUUUCUGACCCUAUACCACCUUCAGCAGGGAUGAAGGCAGUCAGAGAAAACUUAGUUAAAAAAUUUCUAAACUGCUUUGCUGAUUUGAUCUGGGGCCCUGGAGUGCCAACAUCCUGUGAUAGCGGCUGAUUGUUGAUGCCUGGGAGGAUACAGCAGUGACGAUCCAAAUUUACAAGACUCAACAUGGUUUUCAAAACUUCCUUUUAAAAAAGAUGUUCCUGAGUUCUGGAAUCUGAACAAAAUAUGUCUGGUUAUUAUAUAAUUCUAAUGGUCCUUGUGGAUGCUACCAUUAGAGUUCAGUUAGUGUCUCAUCUAUCACUGUAAUAUUUGUAUUGUAACACUAAUCGUGGCAAAGUAUGAUUUGAUAAAUGCUCAUUCUCAAAUCUUUUAUUUUAGUGUGUUCAUGUAAGAUUAAUGACCAUGAUGACUUGAGAUAGAAUUUUUUGAUUUGUUGCUUUCUUUGUGUCUUCCAAUAUCACACAGAUUUGCAAAGAUAUCUAUGGCACAAGGGGAGAAAAUAAUAACUUAACUAGAGGAUAGGAGUAAGGCCUUCUAUUAACAAGACACUGUUGACAUUUCUAGGUAGAUUUCAGAAUUCUCCAGGCAUGCCUGGUAGAAAUUUUAGAAAUAAAAGCCAGGAAAGAA